Molecule: ribosomal RNA, 253 nt
Filed under: uncultured bacterium
Lineage: Bacteria
Description: partial 16S ribosomal RNA
Rfam family: Bacterial small subunit ribosomal RNA
Source: RNAcentral
UACGGAGGGAGCUAGCGUUGUUCGGAAUUACUGGGCGUAAAGCGCACGUAGGCGGCUUUGUAAGUCAGAUGUGAAAGCCCCGGGCUCAACCUGGGAACUGCAUUUGAUACUCUGGUGCUGGAGUUCGGGAGAGGAGAGUGGAAUUCCCAGUGUAGAGGUGAAAUUCGUAGAUAUUCGCAAGAACACCAGUGGCGAAGGCGGCUCACUGGCCCGAUACUGACGCUGAGGCACGAAAGCGUGGGGAGCAAACAGG